AGGACGAACGCUGGCGGCGUGCCUAACACAUGCAAGUCGAGCGAUGCGAUUCUUCGGAAUCAAUUAGCGGCGGACGGGUGAGUAACACGUGGGUAACCUGCCUCAAAGAGGGGAAUAGCCUCCCGAAAAGGGAGAUUAAUACCGCAUAAUAUGUUUUGAUCGCAUGAUCUUAACAUCAAAGGAAUUUCUUCGGAAAUUCCACUUUGAGAUGGACCCGCGGCGCAUUAGCUAGUUGGUGAGGUAAAGGCCCACCAAGGCAACGAUGCGUAGCCGACCUGAGAGGGUGAUCGGCCACAUUGGAACUGAGACACGGUCCAGACUCCUACGGGAGGCAGCAGUGGGGAAUAUUGCGCAAUGGGGGAAACCCUGACGCAGCAACGCCGCGUGAAUGAUGAAGGCCUUCGGGUUGUAAAGUUCUGUCUUCUGGGACGAUAAUGACGGUACCAGAGGAGGAAGCCACGGCUAACUACGUGCCAGCAGCCGCGGU
This 487-nucleotide ribosomal RNA is filed under the name uncultured bacterium. Its description in RNAcentral is "SSU rRNA". It matches the Rfam family "Bacterial small subunit ribosomal RNA", at positions 26 to 521 of the family's 1533-position model. The record is from RNAcentral.